GGAACCUGCAUCCUCAUCAAUAUUAGUCGGAUUCUUAACCUGCUGAGCCACAACAGGAACUCCUCAACUGGAUUUUUAAAGCCCAUUUUCCCAUUGGCUUCCAGGCUGGACUGUGAAUCCAAUCUGAUGGCUCAGGGCAUCUCUCCUCCCCCUCCCUCCCCUCCUCACCUCUGCAGGGGACACACGGAUGAGCGGGGGCUACUGUAUUUGAUGACUCAGGAGCCGCCACGCCUAUUUUCCAACCCCGCCGAGUGAGGAAGAGCCAAACCGGGCCCAGGCAAGUAUUUUCGGUCUUUCCUCCAGCUAUUCUCAUCGCUAACAUUUUUGUAGUGGGUGGCUGGAGCGGGCGAUUUUCCUUUCUUUUGUGCAAACGAGACCAGAAUAAACAGCACAGGGUGAGUCACUUCAGACGCUUAGCGCUUCAAUUACUUAAAAACUCAAGGGCCUGAGGAGGCUUAGAAAGUCACCUUCUUCAGAGCAGCCCUGAGCUGAUGGGAAGCGCUCCAAAUUCUGAGUAGUCGCUGCCUUCCCCCCACGGGAAACCUGCUGCUCGCACGCCCAGCACCCGGAGGGAAGUGGCCCAGGCAAAGCCACCUGGACGAGGCGCCCCCUGGAGCAUGAUUUCAUCCCUCACUUCAUCUUCACGGUGACCUAUGAGGUCAUACACAGAAUGCCUAUGACGUCAUAAAGAAGAACCCCCAUGUACAUUUCCUGCCCCCAGAGGCAUCAAGCCCGCUCGCCACGGGGCUACAUCCAAGACUCCCUUGAAUCCUUGUCCCAAUCCUCUGACGUCGUUACUGCUCUCUCCCUCUCCAUCCAUGAGAAAACUGGAAGCUCGGGGCAGUGACGGGAACCCAAGUCUCUUGGUUUAUAAAACCCACUGGCUAAAAUCCCAGUGUUUCCCAAACUGUGUCCCGAGGAACCCUGGGAUCUCCUGAGAUGCUAACUGGCAGGGGGAAGAAAGGGGUCUGUGGUCCAAAGAGUUUGGGGAUUUUCAGUUGCACGCUCCUCUGUUAGAGUCAGCACACAGGUCAUUUCUGAAAGGCCCUGAGAGAUCGUGUGUUAAAAAAAAGUGUGGAUUCUGUGAGCUGUUUCUCUGACUUGAUUGAUCACGUAGCUGUCCAUGCAUGCACGCAUGCAUGCAUUCUCAGAAUGUUCAUCACCAUCUCAGGGGCCAUCCCCGGGCUUGGUAGACAAGGCUAAGGUCAUGCUACACUAAUUCUGGCUGGAUGACUCAAGGACAGUGCAAUUUUCCCUGUGUUCCCACUGGGGUCAGUUCUUAGAGGGAAAUGCCCAAUCGAGAAAAAUCAGGCUUAAGAAAUCACUGUCAUCAAAAAGGGAUGCCUUUUCUUGAAUGUCCAAUGAUGACCAGACCUGCUAAGGUCUUAUCUGGUAUGUUUAGUUAAAGAGGCCCCCUAGUUUAAGCCUAUAAUAGAAUCCUGAGCCUUCACUCCACCUUGGCCUCCCCAAGGGAUCUUCUAGCCUCUGUUUACAUACCUCCAAGAACGGAGAGCUCACUACCUCUCAAAGCAACCAGUUCUACACAGACAACGGCUGCUAGAAAGGCCUUCCUUCUACAGAUGCGAAAUCUGUUUCCCAUCAGUUCAUACCCAGUGGUUCCUCUCCCCUGUGCAAGCUCUAAAAUAAUGGUGAAGGCCAUUGUCGCUUCCCCUAGAUCUUCUGCUCUCCAGGCGAAACAUCUCCAUUCCCCCACUGACAUGGUUUCCAGCCCCCUGGGGAGAAGCAGACAAAUCUGAGGAAGGACCUGGGCCUUGGGGCUCUGGGGGUCCAAGUCCUGGAUCUACUCCCUAGUAGCUGCAGGACCUUGGCAAUUUAUUUAAUUUCUCCAAGUCUCUGUUUCUUUUUCCAGGGGAAAAAAAAAUCUAUUUACCCCAUAGAAUUUUUUGAAGAUUAAACGAGAUAAUGUCUGCAGAGCACCCAGCACAGUUCCUGGUACCGGUAGGUCAUCAGCCCGUGUUACUGGUCUCGCCUCUCCACUUCCUCCCCGCUUCUGGACCCUCUCCUCUGCCUGGACCCUUCCUCUGUGUGGUGUGGCCAGCUUGUUCCCAUCCCCAUCCUGAUGCUUAAAGGAUUCCAGGUGUAGUCACCCUCCUCGACGACACGCUGGCAUCCUUUCUCUCUUUCUAGAAACCAGUUCUUGUCGGGGUUCCGCUGUGACCCUGAAGGUGGUCUUGGCCAAGUCCCUUCCCCUCUCUGCUUCUGGGUUUCCACAUCUGAGGUCCAGCUCUGACAUUCUGGGGUGUUCAUGAGUGUUCUCAUACUGUUCUGUAUCACAGAAAAAGCCAGCCAAGGAAGGAUGGGACCUUCAGAAAAAAAAUGGCAAGACACCCUUUUCCCCAAACAAAAGAGACAGAAUCUUCAAGGCCCAGAAACGGGUAGCACUGUUCUUUUUUUUGCCCCUUCUGAAAGACUUCAGCAUUUGAGUUUAUUUUCAACGGAUCUUGAAAUAAUGAGAAAUCUGGUUGAGUAGAGUUUGGGUAAAGAUUUUAGGCGUCUAGGUUCUGCUCUGACUUGGCACUGAAAAAAAAAAACCCAAAGUUUUGUAAGAUGCUUAUUUUAAAGAGGGCCAAAUACAUUCACUUCUUUCAGAUUUGACUUUGUAAUACGGCCAUCGUGUGCAUUAUGAAGAGCCUACCCGGUUGAUUUUUUGAUUUGGCCCGUAGAUGGAAUUUAGUUUUUGAGAUCUGAAAGGCAGAUUCUGCACAGGAAGAUCAUAUUUUUUUUUCCCUGAGAGUUCAUCCUAAAGAUACUUAUUUAGAAUUUAGAUUUCAUUUCCGCAUGAAAGCCCGGUCAUAGAUGGCCGUCCCGUAGGCUAGCUGCACAAAUACUCAUUACCUAUUCACAUUUGUUAAUCAUGCAUACGUCUCCCUUAAAGAUGAUU
RNAcentral lists this long non-coding RNA (2902 nucleotides) under Sus scrofa (pig). Its description in RNAcentral is "lncRNA (ENSSSCG00015037708.1)". The record is from RNAcentral. Lineage: Eukaryota; Metazoa; Chordata; Mammalia; Artiodactyla; Suidae.